CCAAAACUGUGAGUUGGUUACGGAUGGCUCAAAUGAUGAGCCACGAAGAACUCCCGAUCCGAAUCCACUUCGCUGUCGACGAAGUCUACGAAGAUCCCUCGCAACUCGAGGAGGCCCAGCUCCGCUUACACCGCCUCAAGACCAAGUCUCACAAGGUCUUCGGGCACCUUCCUCAAGUCUGCGCUCGCUCUCCAGGGAGAGUGAAUUUGAUUGGAGAGCAUACAGACUAUGACGGAUUCUCGGUGUUGCCGAUGGCGAUACGGCAGGAUAUAUACUAUUGUGGCGAUUAGGAGGAACGAAGGGGAGAAGGUUCUGAGAAUUGCGAAUGUUAAUGAUAAGUAUGAAAUGUGUACUUAUCCUGCUGAUCCUAACCAGGAAAUUGAUUUGAAGAAUCAUAAAUGGGCCCAUUAAAUCAUUUGUGGGUCAGAACUCGAGAUUUUGCUUGAUUGUUGUUUAAUUUGGUCUCUGCAUGUUAUGUUGUGAUUUGCAUAAUAGAAACGAAGGAAUUUUGCUAUGCUCUGAGUGUUGUGACAUUACUUUAAUUCAUCUCCAGUAAUCGAGUGUUCACCAGAUUUGCGAGUGAAAUCAGUCGGAUGCUACACAUUUGUUUACUGUCUUCUCUUCGUGUUCUCUGUUAUCUGUAUAUUGUGGCCACAAGGACUUUGUUUGAUUUUACUGCUGAUGAGUUAAAAAGUAUUAUUGUUCAAUUGCAUAUAAGAAACUGAUUGUUUGCAUUCUUCGGGUACAAAUGUUUCUAUGAAUUUGCCAAAUCCCGAGGAAUAGAUCUGGGUGCACCAGUGGGACUUGAUGUUCUUAUUGAUGGAACAGUUCCUACAGGUGAAGUUCCCAUAAGUUUACUUUACUACGUAAAUAUUGAUUGUACUAACAGAAGAAGAUAAGAAGACAGUCUUAUACAACUCUAAUAUUGAUUAAUUGUUUUCUGAACGGUGGUAUUGUUUUCCUAUAUUGCCCCUCCAAAUAUAUAACUCUACGGUAAAUGGAUUAAAUAAAAGAAGGGCAAAAUUGUACCUAUGUAGCGGAAAAGAAGAGGAUAAACACAGUUACUCCCACGUUUGGUUGAACACCGGAGAAACCCAAACUGAUUGCAGUUACUAUCCUCCUCAUCUUCCUCCUACAAAACCUGAUUACAGAUUCACCUAAUUGUCAUUGGGUAAUUUUGAGAUUUUGUUUUCCAGUGAUUUAUGUAGGUCUUUGUAAAGAUAUAAGAUGGCUGUCAUUUGGAUGGUCUCUGAACCGGGUCAGUGAAGAAGGAAAACAAAGACACAGUUUCUUUUCUAUGGUAUUUCCUGUAUAACAAAUCGGAGAACUGGGGAAGAAAGAAGUAUACAGCUGGUAGGUUCAUCAUUUUGCAUGUUGUGUGUUUGAAAUCUUUCCUGCUUCAUUCUAUGGGCGCACUCGAACAAUUCACUUUGAAAAAUAGUCAGAUGUCUAGGUUUGAUCAUUACAGUAUUAUGCUUCAGGUUGGGAUGAUGUUGAGGUUAAUUAGUUCAAGCAUCCAAGGUUCAUUAAACCUUUUUGCAGCAUGUGAGAUAUAUCUGCAUCAUUCUAGGUGUAGAAAUGAAUUCAUCUAUAGCAUUCUAAGUUCUAUUCACUAUUUACUUAUUUAGUAAGUGAGGGUUUGGCUCUUGGUUCUUGGCUUCUAGAGGUUUUUUGUUAUUCCUAUACAGAUUACGAGGGAAUAGGAUGGAACAGAGUGGAAGACCGAAAAGGAGUAUAAACUACUUGGGUGAUAGAGUUUGCUCCCUUCCAUUAAUUUUUUUACUUUUUUCAUUCUUUUCUUUGGCUUACCUUUUUUCAUCUUCAUAUCCCAGAUUAAGCGUGGGUUUGGGUAUGAACAGUUAGUAGUGGCUACUAGCAAUGUACUGUAGUCUGUAUGGCUUCUUUUUUCUUUUUUAGUGUGUUCUUUUGUCCUUGAUGCUGCUCAUGUCUAAGUGGCUCUCAAAAUUGGUGUGUAAUUUUCAUUGAAUGUAAUAUCUUUCUCAAAACAGUUUCAUUCCUUCAGUUUGAUCAUGGGAAGGUUGUGGUCACUGGUGGAAGACACAAGACACAGGGGGACGUAUUUAAGUCAUUGAUGAUAGGGAGAAGCAUAUAUUCAGGGCUGUGAUUAUUUGCGUCUUCCAUGGCUCAGUAAUGUGUUCAGCAUUUGUAAGAGUACAAAGGCUUGAGUGUUCCUUCUCGAGUAAAAGGUAUUGAGCUGUCCAUUGCAGAUGGGAACAAGAGAAGACUUGGCUGCUCAGAGGGCUACCACUACGUAAAAUGUACAAAGAAAUAUGUGGUCGAUGUGCGAUUUGUAAUUUAGAUGCUACUUGGGUGAACCAAUUGAGCAAUUGAAUCUUUUUAAUUAGCUUUUCUGGGAAAGAUUUUCAUGUUCUUUUGUAGUCCUAAUUUGUGAAAGAUUUUUCCUUUUAUACCUAUUGACUUACAUGACUGGAAACAAUUUGUAUUAGUUUACAAAAUUGUGUGUAAUUUUUUAUUUUGGUG
Long non-coding RNA from Rosa rugosa (rugosa rose), 2502 nucleotides. RefSeq lists it as uncharacterized. NCBI's taxonomy places the organism in Eukaryota, Viridiplantae, Streptophyta, Magnoliopsida, Rosales, Rosaceae. The transcript is spliced from 4 exons. The record is from RefSeq and is a predicted model, not a curated record.